Molecule: small nuclear RNA, 104 nt
Organism: Ochotona princeps (American pika)
Lineage: Eukaryota; Metazoa; Chordata; Mammalia; Lagomorpha; Ochotonidae
Source: Ensembl
GUGCUCGCUUCGGCAGCACAUAUACUAAAAUUAGAAUGAUACAGAGAUUAGCAUGGCCCCUGUGCAAGGAUGACAUGCAAAACAAUAAUAAGGAAAAAUUAAAA